CCUACGGGAGGCAGCAGUAGGGAAUAUUGGUCAAUGGAGGCAACUCUGAACCAGCCAUGCCGCGUGUAGGAAGAAGGCGUUCUGCGUUGUAAACUACUUUUGAUUGGGAACAAAUGACUCUUGCGAGAGUAGCUGAGUGUACCAAUAGAAUAAGCCACGGCUAACUACGUGCCAGCAGCCGCGGUAAU
Molecule: ribosomal RNA, 188 nt
Filed under: uncultured bacterium
Lineage: Bacteria
Description: partial 16S ribosomal RNA
Rfam family: Bacterial small subunit ribosomal RNA
Source: RNAcentral